GAUGAACGCUGGCGGCGUGCCUAAUACAUGCAAGUCGAGCGAACAGACGAGGAGCUUGCUCCUCUGACGUUAGCGGCGGACGGGUGAGUAACACGUGGAUAACCUACCUAUAAGACUGGGAUAACUUCGGGAAACCGGAGCUAAUACCGGAUAAUAUAUUGAACCGCAUGGUUCAAUAGUGAAAGACGGCUUUGCUGUCACUUAUAGAUGGAUCCGCGCCGCAUUAGCUAGUUGGUAAGGUAACGGCUUACCAAGGCAACGAUGCGUAGCCGACCGGAGAGGGUGAUAGGCGACACUGGAACUGAGACGCGGUCCAGACUCCUACGGGAGGCAGCAGUAGGGAAUCGGCCGCAAUGGGCGAGAGCCUGACGGAGCAACGCCGAGUGAGUGAUGAAGGUCUUCGGAUCGUAAAACUCUGUUAUUAGGGAAGAACAAAUGUGUAAGUAACUAUGCACGUCUUGACGGUACCUAAUCAGAAAGCCACGGCUAACUACGUG
RNAcentral lists this ribosomal RNA (497 nucleotides) under uncultured bacterium. RNAcentral describes it as "partial 16S ribosomal RNA". It matches the Rfam family "Bacterial small subunit ribosomal RNA", at positions 28 to 507 of the family's 1533-position model. The record is from RNAcentral.